This 784-nucleotide ribosomal RNA is filed under the name uncultured eukaryote. RNAcentral's name for it is "bacterial SSU rRNA". It matches the Rfam family "Bacterial small subunit ribosomal RNA". The record is from RNAcentral.
GGCGGACGGGUGAGUAACGCGUAAGAACCUGCCCUUGGGAGGGGAACAACAGCUGGAAACGGCUGCUAAUACCCCAUAGGCUGAGGAGCAAAAGGAGGAAUCCGCCCAAGGAGGGGCUCGCGUCUGAUUAGUUAGUUGGUGAGGCAAUGGCUUACCAAGGCGACGAUCAGUAGCUGGUCCGAGAGGAUGAUCAGCCACACUGGGACUGAGACACGGCCCAGACUCCUACGGGAGGCAGCAGUGGGGAAUUUUCCGCAAUGGGCGAAAGCCUGACGGAGCAAUGCCGCGUGAAGGCAGAAGGCCCACGGGUCAUGAACUUCUUUUCUCGGAGAAUAAAAAAUGACGGUAUCUGAGGAAUAAGCAUCGGCUAACUCUGUGCCAGCAGCCACGGUAAGACAGACGAUGCAAGCGUUAUCCGGAAUGAUUGGGCGUAAAGCGACUGUAAGUGGCUUUACAAGUCCGCCGUCUAUCCCAGGGCUCAACCCUGGACGAGCGGUGGAAAUUACGAGCUGGACUACGGUACGGGCACAGGGAAUUUCCCGUGGAGCAGUAAUAUGCAUUGAUAUCUCACAGAAGAUCUGGCCAAGUCCUCUGCUGGGGCGACUGAACACUCACAGACAACAGCUACGGGAGCUCAUGGUAUUAAAUACUUGACUCAUCCUAUCCCUAAUCGAAGGAUACUACCUGCUUGGCCUGAUUCCCCCUUUGCGCUGCAGCUUAUGCGGUAUUAUCCCGCCUUGCGACUAUUUCUGCCCAACGAAGUCAGAUCAUUGCGUUAAUCGCC